CCUACGGGAGGCAGCAGUGGGGAAUAUUGGACAAUGGGGGCGAGCCUGAUCCAGCCAUGCCGCGUGCCUGAAGAAGGCCUUCCGGUUGGAAAUGAACUUUCAUGGGGGAAGAAAAGUGUGCAG
This 123-nucleotide ribosomal RNA is filed under the name uncultured Gammaproteobacteria bacterium. Its description in RNAcentral is "partial 16S ribosomal RNA". It matches the Rfam family "Bacterial small subunit ribosomal RNA", at positions 338 to 459 of the family's 1533-position model. The record is from RNAcentral. Lineage: Bacteria; Pseudomonadati; Pseudomonadota; Gammaproteobacteria.